RNAcentral lists this ribosomal RNA (307 nucleotides) under uncultured bacterium. Its description in RNAcentral is "bacterial SSU rRNA". It matches the Rfam family "Bacterial small subunit ribosomal RNA", at positions 772 to 1074 of the family's 1533-position model. The record is from RNAcentral.
ACUGAAUAGAUACCCUGGUAGUCCAUGCCGUAAACUAUGGAUACUAGCUGUUGGGGGUAUCGACCCCUCCAGUAAGCGAAAGCUAACGCGUUAAGUAUCCGCCUGUGGAGUACGAUCGCAAGAUUAAAACAAUAAAGGAAUUGACGGGGACCCGGCACAAGCGGUGGAGCGUGUUCUUUAAUUUCGAUGCUAAACGAAGAACCUUACCAGGGCUUGACAUCCCUUGAAUUACUCCGAAAGGAGUGAGUGCUUUAUUGAGCAAGGUGACAGGUGAUGCAUGGCCGUCGUCAGCUCGUGUCGUGAGAUG